Molecule: long non-coding RNA, 2774 nt
Filed under: Nicotiana benthamiana
Lineage: Eukaryota; Viridiplantae; Streptophyta; Magnoliopsida; Solanales; Solanaceae
Description: long non-coding RNA (NBEN_LNC027217)
Source: RNAcentral
CUGGGAGUUCUAAUAAGUGGUACAGUCUGAGGGAACAUUUUUGUACAACAUUCAAUACUUUUCUUAAGAGGAGUUGCUAUCACGGGGAUCAAUCCCCAUUUUCAACCGAGAAGCUGUGAGUUCGAGUUUUCCUAAGAGCAAGGUGAGAAGUUCUUGGAGGGAAGGAUGCCGGGGUCUAUUUGGAAACAGCGUCUCUACUCUAGGGCAGGGGUAAGGUCUGCGUACAUACUAUCCUCCUCAGAUCCCACUAACUGAAAUUAUACUGAGUUGUUGCAUUCAAUACCUUUUUCUGUCUUUUUAUACUACUUCGACCUAGUUCUAUGUAUAGUUGCUCGGAAUUUAAUGUUGAUUUUAAUUUUUUGGUGAAUUCGAACAUUUAUAUUUAAAUUUUUCAAAAAUAAAAUUUCAGUAUUAGAAAAUUAGUUUAAACUUUAAAGUGCUAUAAAAUCAUAAGUAUUUCUUUGUAGAGAUGUUGUUCAGUAAGCCUGGGACUAAAUGUCCAAGCUGUUGACUUUGGUUUUUCUUUGAUGGUUGUAAAUAUUGUUUCGUGGAAAUAUAAAUAGAUAGUUAUAAAAAAAAAAAUCUUGUAUGUAAAAUGUAGAAGUGUGUAACUUAAAAAAUUAUUUGACUGUUCAAAUAAUGUAGUAUUAAUUUUUUACUUGUUAGAAUACCCUAAUUGUUGAUUUUGAGCCAAAAUUUUAAAAUUUGGGAAUUAUAUAUAUAUUUUCCCAAAAUAAAGUUGGGAAAUAUAUUUUGAAAAGGUAUGUCCAAACAUAUUUUAUCUUCAAAUCAAACUUUAACUAAUCAGUUUUUUCAAAACAAAUUUGGGAAUUUAUGGCCAAACACAAGCUAAAUUCAAUAGCUACACACAACGACAAAGGCACACUUAGGUUAAGGUAGUUGACCACCUUUUGCCGGAAAACUAUAUUGCUUAUUAUAUAGGUAAAAUAUGAUAUUUUAGUGGUAUAUAAUAUUUAUUAAAUAUUUUUUAUAUUUUUUUAUUUAUUUCAAACAAAAUUUUAGCUUCGCCACUAGUUACGCAGAUCUGAUGCGCCAAUAUUUGAUGUUGAUUCUCCUUUGAAAGUGUUAGGAUAAAGUUGUAACUUUAUUUUUAGAAUAAUUAAGAAGUUCAAGUAGAUUUUGAUUCUGAGUGGGUAAUUUUGGUAUAUUUGGUGGAGGUAAUACCUUUCUAGUUUUUAGUACCAUAUACCUGCUUUCUAAGUUCCAACAUGAUAUUUAUCUAGUCACCAAGAAUUUAUUCUCUAGAUAUGCUUUGCAUAGGUCAUAAGUAGUAGCAUUAUAUUUAAAAAUUCCAUUACUAUUCUUCGUUGAGUUUUGCAUUAAUCAGUAUACAAAUGUUAACUAAUAAUUACUCAGUGAUCUAAUUUUACUUCAAUCAUAAAUCAAGUUAAACCAAACUGUGAUAAAUAAUACUCAAUUUUCUUUUGUUGCCAAACUCGACUUCGAUAGAGAUAAAUUCUUUUUAGGAAAUGCUUGUUAAUGCAUUAUCAAUAAACAUACAACAACAACAACCCAGUAUAAUCUCACUUAGUAGGGUCUGGGGAGGGUAGUGUGUACGCAGACCUUAUCCUUAUCCUUGGGUAGAGAGGCUGUUUCCAAAUAGACCCCCGGCAUCCUUCAUUCCAAGAGCUUUCCACCUUGCUCUUGGGGAGACUCGAACUCACAACGUCUCGGUUGGAAGUGGUAGUUGCUUACUAUCAGAGCAACCCUCUGGCCUAUUAUCAAUAAACAUAUACUACUUAAUUACUUUAUGCAUGUAUUUGUGAGAGGUACCAGAUGUAUUAGGCAAGAUACGUGUAAGUUGAUCCGAAUACAACUGUUACAAAAAAAAUUACAUUAUAAUUACUUUGACCUCUUUGAAAGUAAUUAAAAAUUAGUUUAACAUCUGUUAUAGGUAAUUUCUGCAAAUUAGAGUGGAAUGCUAGUCAAAGUUGGAGGUAGCAUCUCUUGUGAUGGCAAAUUAGUUUUCUGUACCAUGUAGAAUAAUUGUACUUUGUUAAGCAACUUGUAAUAUUAUCUACAGAUAUAGAAGGAGAAUAAAGAUAAUGAAUGGAAACCAACGAAAAAUUGGAAUUAAUUGUAAUACCAUCAGACAAGAGGGGUUGCUCUUAUGGUAAGCAACCCCCACUUCCAACCGAGAGGUUGCGAGUUCGAGUCUCCCUAAGCGCAAGGUGGAAAGUUCUUGGAGGGAAGGAUGCCGGGGGUCUAUUUGGAAACAGCCUCUCUACCCAAGUGUAUAGGUAAGGCCUGCGUACACACUACCCUCCCAAUUGGAAUUGAUUCUAAAAGCAAAAGGACCAGUGGUUUCAAUGUUCUCCGCAUAAACUGUUGAUUCCUUCGCGUUUUCACUGUUUCUUUGAAGAUGUCUACUUUUUCAGCUGGUUAGUUCAUCAACUAUUAAUUACUUGAGCACUUUAGCAAAUCUCAAUUAGUCCCAUUUUGCUAAAUAUGUCUUUUUUAGUACUAUGUCUCAAAAGAAUAUCAUCUUCUGUAUUUGGAAUACUGACGUGACUUGUCGAAAUUCAACUGAUAUCUAUAGUCUCAUGAAUUUAUGAACCAUAACACAUACAUGAACAAACUAACCAUACCCUUCCAGUCUUCUAGAUGGAAGAUAAACUUCUUAAAAUCACAUAGAAUUGGUGCUAAGUUUGCAAGCUUAACCUGCUGAAUCCAACUGCUUUACCGACCACUCGGCAGCAACUAUCCCUUCAGGAGAUCCAAUGAACCUCAGUAUACACCCCAAAGAUGACAUU